GGAUAUUUGCCGAGCAAACGAAUGGAACAGUGCAACCAUUUUUCCUCUUUGCAAAUCCUUUGAACGAUUAUUACGAUUUUAUUAAUUAGAAAAACGAUCAUUCAGAUUCGUUAUCUUGCAAACUGUUGUAAUUAAAUUCAGCCCGGGCGAAUCCCGGCGACAAAAAACCUAAUCCCGCUGGAGCUCGGGAAUUAAUCAGACACAUUUAUAGUAGUGAAUUGGACUGGAAGGAGUCUGCAUUAAUGCUUUUGAAUGAAAAUUGCAUAUGUCCGGGGUGCAUAGCAACUAGUACUUGUCGGAUCGAUCGGUGUUCAUCCACUUGUUUAUUUCUAUUUUUCGCAAUUAUUCCAUGAGAAUAUUAAAGGCGAUGAGCGGAAAUGCUCCCGAUUGAGCCGCUUUUUACUGCCGUUAUGGGAGGGCCGAGCUCCUCCACCCUUAUCGCGGCCUCUUCAUUAUUGCCACUUGACUAGCUUUCGACUGAAUUAUCCUGCCUGGAAUAUCGACUACCGAAAGCAACAAUUUCGCCAAUUAUUCUCUUUCUAUAAUUGAAUCGCUGUUGAUGGGUUUGGGUGACGCACAGGGAGGGUGCCGCCACGUGACCGCAGGACCCAUGAAAAAUCGGAAAUUGGAAUGAGAAAUGACGUCAUCCGCCGCCAAAUUAGACCCUUGAUGCGAAAACCUUGGAUUGUUUACUCCCUGAAUUUGACGCCGAUAUAAAUGCAAAAUGCCACUGUUGAGGCGAGCACAGCGAGAUGGCUCAAUUAGAGGUCUUUGUUUUGCUGUUCGUUUUAAUGAGCGUCGUUUGUGACUGGAAGGGCCCCGUUUGUGCAUAUCCAACCGCCGAGGAAGGAGCAAUCGAUGCCGGAGCUGAAUCCGUGUCCAAACGAAUUACGCGCAAUACACAGAACACAAUUCCGCAAAAUUAUGUGAAUCCCGGAGGAGAAAGAAGCCAAAUCCGCAUAAAGAAAAGAGAUUUGAGGAGGAAAAGGAAGUUUCGUCCUAUUCCCGUGUUUUGCGGGUAACUUGCUUAUCAAUUGACCGUUUACUGCGAAUUAUUUUGCAACGCGUGAAACGACCGAACACACAAAGGGUGUGUUUGCCAAAAAUUUAUUAAAUUAAUCAAUUCAUUAUUUAAGUUUGCUCAUUGUUAGCGAGGGAAGCAAUUAUAUCGUAAUCCUAAUUUGUUAUUCAAUGUGUAUUGUGUAACACAAUAAAUGUUAAUUUUCUUGUUUGGUAAACAUUGUGAUAUAGGUACGAAAUAUACGCUCAACUAGUUAGUAAUGUGUACAAGCUUCAUCGCAAAAAUUACUGUCAGAGCAGUGGCGAGGGUGUAAAACUAGGAGAUGAGUGAGCUACGUUCUUAAUUCUAAAGUUAUUUAAAUUAUGAAACCAAAUGGUACACAUUUCUGCUGAAACGCAUAAACAUGAGCAUAUGAGAAAAAACAGUCGUUAAAAUAAGCCAAAAAAUCGCCUAAUACGUCGAACUUAUCUUAUUACUUCGUAAGCAGUGUAAUAAGAUUUCUUAAUUUGAUAUUUGUUUGGUGUUAGCAUGUAAGCAUGUAAGCAAAGAAUUAUCAUGUACUCGUAUAUAUUAUUUGAAUAAAUCAUUUGUAUAUAG
Molecule: long non-coding RNA, 1618 nt
Organism: Tribolium castaneum (red flour beetle)
Lineage: Eukaryota; Metazoa; Arthropoda; Insecta; Coleoptera; Tenebrionidae
Exons: 2
Source: RefSeq, a predicted model, not a curated record